AAGAUGACACUAAAGGACUUCUAAUCCUUUCCAUCUCAAAGAGAACAUCUUU
RNAcentral lists this transfer RNA (52 nucleotides) under Dermatophagoides farinae (American house dust mite). RNAcentral's name for it is "tRNA-Ser". The record is from RNAcentral. Lineage: Eukaryota; Metazoa; Arthropoda; Arachnida; Sarcoptiformes; Pyroglyphidae.